CGGCCGCGAUGAGGGAACAGCCCUCGUUUGCCUGGCGCUGAUACUCGAGGCUGUGGCGGUAGUGGAAUGCAAAAGCCAAGACUAAUGGAAACAGGGCCCAAAGACCCCUGCAGGAUGCCUGAGGCAAGUUCACCCAGGCGAACUCCACAGAACGUCCCCUACCAGGACCUUCCUCACCUGGUCAAUGCGGAUGGACAGUACCUCUUUUGUAGGUACUGGAAGCCCAGUGGCACACCCAAGUAAGUCCUCUCCCUCUGCUCCUCCUUCAAGGCACCUCCUCCUCCUCCUCCUCGGUCAUCAUGGGUCCAUCCUUCCUGUGACCUGCCUCUCAUGCCACUGACACACCUGGCACAGUGGUGUUAGCAGAGUUGAGAGCUGUACUUUAUGGUUUUCUUAACAAUGAGGGCCCAAGAGUUCUCUUUUCACUACAACUAGGAUAGGAGUCCACUGUCUGGCAAUUUUCAGAGUCAUAUGACUUUUUUUUUUUU
This 488-nucleotide long non-coding RNA is filed under the name Rattus norvegicus (Norway rat). RNAcentral describes it as "long non-coding RNA NONRATT020704". Lineage: Eukaryota; Metazoa; Chordata; Mammalia; Rodentia; Muridae. The record is from RNAcentral.